UGGGGAAUUUUGGACAAUGGGCGCAAGCCUGAUCCAGCCAUGCCGCGUGCGGGAAGAAGGCCUUCGGGUUGUAAACCGCUUUUGUCAGGGAAGAAACCUUCUGAGUUAAUACCUCGGGAGGAUGACGGUACCUGAAGAAUAAGCACCGGCUAACUACGUGCCAGCAGCCGCGGUAAUACGUAGGGUGCAAGCGUUAAUCGGAAUUACUGGGCGUAAAGCGUGCGCAGGCGGUUUUGUAGGACAGAGGUGAAAUCCCCGGGCUCAACCUGGGAACUGCCUUUGUGACUGCAAGGCUUGAGUGCGGCAGAGGGGGGAUGGAAUUCCGCGUGUAGCAGUGAAAUGCGUAGAUAUGCGGAGGAACACCGAUGGCGAAGGCAAUCCCCUGGGCCUGCACUGACGCUCAUGCACGAAAGCGUGGGGAGCAAACAGGAUUAGAUCCCUGGUAGUCCACGCCCUAAACGAUGUCAACUGGUUGUUGGGAAGGUUCCUUCUCAGUAACGUAGCUAACGCGUGAAGUUGACCGCCUGGGGAGUACGGCCGCAAGGUUGAAACUUAAAUGAAUUGACGGGGUCAUAGC
RNAcentral lists this ribosomal RNA (577 nucleotides) under uncultured bacterium. RNAcentral describes it as "partial 16S ribosomal RNA". It matches the Rfam family "Bacterial small subunit ribosomal RNA", at positions 355 to 925 of the family's 1533-position model. The record is from RNAcentral.